This is a long non-coding RNA of Magallana angulata, 439 nucleotides long. RefSeq lists it as uncharacterized. The record is from RefSeq and is a predicted model, not a curated record. The transcript has 2 exons. Lineage: Eukaryota; Metazoa; Mollusca; Bivalvia; Ostreida; Ostreidae.
GGACAUUGACCAGAACAGACUAUAUAUUUAUAUUGAGAAGUAAUUUUAAUUUUGGACCAGACCUUGCUCUUUUUCUGAAUCAGUCAAUGUCAAUAUAAUCUCACCACGCAAUCGGUGUACGUAUUAUGAGCCUGUUCCCAUAGAAUGGUGAGAAAGUGUUUUCGAAUUUUUUUUUAAUCUGAUUAAUAUAUUUUAUGACUUAUUUUGGAGAAAUGUAAUUCAUGUAUAUUAUAAGAAUUACCUCCCGCUAAAUGUUUAAAGUACAAUUAUAGUAAGAUAAUGUAAAAAUAUUAUCUUGAUGGAAAUACAUAUAUAUUGUACUAAUGUUAUAUUUUGAUAUAAAUUAUAUUAUUGUUUUAUGAUAUUUCAGGGCUUAAAUAUACAUUGCAAAUUUUAAAGUCACUGUGUCCGGAUACAAAUAAAACGAACCAUACAGAUA